AUGGAGUACAGAAGAGUGAAGGAUCAGGAGAGUUAUGACGCCAUAUCUCAGAAGGACAUAGAAAGCCCUGAUGGGAGGUCUCUUUCUAGCACUGCAGCAACUUCCCCCCUUGGCACCGUAGGAGGUUCGAAGGGCAAGAAUAGCUGGAAGCAAAAGUCUAUUGUAACAAUUGCAUUGACAUUACUAACAAGUUCCCAGGCAAUACUGAUUGUGUGGUCAAAAAGAGCUGGAAAGUAUGAAUAUAGUGUCACAACAGCAAAUUUUUCGGUGGAAGCUUUAAAAUGUCUAUUAUCACUUCUAGCCCUGUACAGAACAUGGAACAGUCAAGGUGUUACAGAAGAUAAUAGGUUAAGUACAUCAUUUGAUGAAGUUAGUGUUUAUCCUAUCCCUGCCGUACUUUACAUGGUAAAGAAUCUAUUGCAGUAUUACAUCUUCGCCUAUGUGGAUGCACCAGCUUACCAGAUCCUGAAGAACCUGAAUAUUAUCAGCACUGGUGUCUUAUACCGUAUCAUUUUAAAGAAAAAAUUAAGUGAAAUUCAGUGGGCUGCAUUUAUUCUCUUAUGUGCUGGCUGCACUACGGCUCAGCUAAACCCCUCAUCAGACCAUGUUCUUCAAACGCCAAUUCAAGGUUGGAUGAUGGCCAUUGUGAUGGCUCUUCUAAGUGGUUUUGCUGGGGUAUACACAGAAGCUAUAAUAAAAAAACGUCCUUCGAGAAACAUCAAUGUGCAGAAUUUCUGGCUGUACAUUUUUGGAAUGCUCUUCAACUUAGUUGCCAUUUGUGUUCAGGACUUUGAUGCUGUCAUGAACAAAGGCUUUUUUCAUGGCUACUCAUUUAUUACACUUCUGAUGAUUCUUAACCAUGCACUCAGUGGCAUUGCUGUAUCAAUGGUGAUGAAGUAUGCUGACAAUAUUGUCAAGGUGUAUUCAACUUCAGUCGCAAUGCUUCUGACGGCAAUUGUAUCGGUCUUCUUGUUCGGCUUCAACCUAUCCCUUGCAUUCUUCCUCGGAUCUACGGUCGUUUCAAUCUCGGUGUAUCUGCAUUCUGUCGGGAAGCCACAGCAGCAGAAAUGA
This 1071-nucleotide ribosomal RNA is filed under the name Triticum aestivum (bread wheat). RNAcentral describes it as "partial small subunit ribosomal RNA". Lineage: Eukaryota; Viridiplantae; Streptophyta; Magnoliopsida; Poales; Poaceae. The record is from RNAcentral.